Molecule: ribosomal RNA, 439 nt
Filed under: uncultured bacterium
Lineage: Bacteria
Description: partial 16S ribosomal RNA
Rfam family: Bacterial small subunit ribosomal RNA
Source: RNAcentral
CUACGGGGGGCAGCAGUGGGGAAUAUUGCACAAUGGAGGAAACUCUGAUGCAGCAACGCCGCGUGGAGGAUGACACUUUUCGGAGCGUAAACUCCUUUUAUAUAGGAAGAAGAUGGCGGUACUAUAUGAAUAAGCGCCGGCUAACUCCGUGCCAGCAGCCGCUGUAAUACGGAGGGCGCAAGCGUUACUCGGAAUCACUGGGCGUAAAGAGCGUGUAGGCGGAUUAAAAAGUCAGAAGUGAAAUCCUAUAGCUUAACUAUAGAACUGCUUCUGAAACUCUUAAUCUAGAAUAUGGGAGAGGUAGAUGGAAUUUCUGGUGUAGGGGUAAAAUACGUAGAGAUCAGAAGGAAUACCGAUGGCGAAGGCGAUCUACUAGAACAUUAUUGACGCUGAGACGCGAAAGCGUGGGGAGCAAACAGGAUUAGAUACCCUGGUAGUC